GUCAACGAUCUUUAUAAAGUUGUUUGAAGCGUCUAUGAUAAACAGAGAGCAAAUUAGAAUGCUGGGAAGUUGACAUGUCGUCACUUCAUUUUUUUGCGCCUGCGCAUAAAUCUGAGAAGCGUGAGUUUGUCAUAAUUGUUUAUCUAGACAUAGGAUAGGUUGUGUGAAAAUAUUACUGAUGUUUAACGUUAAAAAUGGACCAAAAGAUUAAUGCUAAACAACGUUUGACAUGUUUGAACGAACGUAAAUAGAUUAUUUACUAGGUUUUUUAGCUUUUCGGCGUGAUUUUACACCCCCCCCCACCACGUUUUGUGGGAGCAUAAUGAACGCUAACUACUUGGUGUUAUUUGGACAUAAAUUAUGAACUUUGUCAAAAGAAACCACAUUUGUUCUGGACCUGGGAUUCCUGGCAGUGCCUUCUGAUGGAGAUAAUCAAAGGAGUGUCAUCUGAUGGAGAUUGUCAAAGUUCAUCUGGGCUUUUCCAUGGCUCACUGAGCCGCUCCAGGACCUAUACCAUGUGUCUGAGCAGAGAGGAGACAAAGACAUCCCAGCACACUAACAAUGG
RNAcentral lists this long non-coding RNA (565 nucleotides) under Salmo salar (Atlantic salmon). RNAcentral describes it as "lncRNA (ENSSSAG00000094166.1)". Lineage: Eukaryota; Metazoa; Chordata; Actinopteri; Salmoniformes; Salmonidae. The record is from RNAcentral.